Molecule: long non-coding RNA, 1249 nt
Filed under: Homo sapiens (human)
Lineage: Eukaryota; Metazoa; Chordata; Mammalia; Primates; Hominidae
Description: novel transcript
Source: RNAcentral
AUAGCCAAGAAAUUUGGAGCUCAGUUUCAAACAAGAAAUCUUAAAAGUUUGAGAAGAAAAUAUGGUAAAUAACUAAGAGAAAUCUCUGGUCAAUACUCAACAAGUCCUUCAGUCCAACAAUAUUCCAUACAUGAAAUCCUGCCAAAAACCAGACUCAGCACCAAACACACGAGAUGAAACAUAAGAUGCAUAAACACAACCCUUGCCUUUGAAGAAAAUUUGCACUAAUGGCAGAGAUGGGUGCUGUAUGAGUGAGCUGUGGCUGCCAUAGCAAGACAUCAUAGAUUGGAUGGCUUAAACAACAGAAAUUUAUUUUUUCACAGUUCUGGAGGCCAGAAAUCCCCAAUAAAGGUACUGACUGAUUAGGUGAGGGCUUUAUUUCUGCUGACAGACAACCACCUUCUUGUUGAGUUUUUAUACGGUCUUUUCUCUGUGGCUCAUAGAGAGAGACAGAGAGAGCUCUGGUGUUUUUUCCUCUUCUUAUUAGGACACCAGUCCUGUAUCACUAAGGCUCCAUCCUGAUGAUUCCACUUAGCCAGUAACUAUGGGAAUUAGGGCUUCAACAUACAAAUUUAGAGAAAUGUGAUUCCGUUCAUAACAGGUGCUUAACUAGAAUUCUGUAUGCACAUUGUUUUAUGAAAAAGCGACAUGAAACCUAAGGAUUUACUGUCUGUUGUAGAAUUUCUCAUAUAAAGAAGAACCUGAGGCAAGUACAGAAAUGUUACCUCCCUACCUUCUCAUUGGAAAGCAGCUCACAGAGAAUACAAUAGUUCUACCCACUAUGCCCGUAUAAUGCAAUGAUAUAUAUCCGUCACUAAAAUCUCCAUGCUUGUCUCACCCAACGUCUCAAACUAUGCUAUAACUAUUGGCGGAUCUCACAUAAUUGAGCAAUCUGAAUGAUGGAAUUGUACACUAGUUGAAUACAGGAGAUACUAUUUUACAUAGCACAGCAAAGCUCUCCCAUAACUCUACAAAUAGGGCUGAAAAAAUCAAAUACGUAAAAUGCAGCGUCAUGUUAUUGCAUGGUUAAUAAAAUUACUGACUCUUCUCAGCUAUCUGAGUGUUUUAGGUUCCUGAGAGCCAAGUCAGUCAUGUCAUUUCCGAAUUUUGGUGAUCAAAGGGUGGAUGAUCACAGUUUUACUCCAUUUCAACUUGAUUAUUAGUUACAUUAAAAAAAGGUUUUUCUAUGUGUGCUGUGAGACUGAUUCUCAUUUAGUAUGGUUUCAUUAAAAAUUAGGAUCCCUUUUUC